CAAUAUAAAUACGAUCACCGAUCGCCAGAUUCGUCAGACGCGGAAGUAGAGAAGUGACUCGAACGUUUGUUGGCGAUUCUAAAGCGAGCCUAAAUCAGCAUCAACAUGCCGGCACCGGGUUGCGACAAGAGCAAAGGUUCGUGCCAAGGCUGCAGCUGUGGAGGCAGCUGUAAAUGCAACAGCGGUGGAUCAGGCAGCUGCAGUUGCCCACAAGGUGGAAAAUGCUCCUGCACCGGAUGCAAAUAAACGACCCUCCGAGACGUUUUGGAACAAGAUUUUUUCUCAACAUGGAUGCUAUCACUAGGAUAUCGAUUAAACGCAAUGGCCACAUUGUAUAGUAAAAAAACCAUAUCAAAAUAUAUUAUUUGGCUAGCUGUAUACAGAUAAUGAAGAAUUAUUAUUCUGUGAUGUUGUUUAAAAAUAAAUGAUUAAAACCAGAUAA
This is a long non-coding RNA of Neodiprion fabricii, 442 nucleotides long. RefSeq lists it as uncharacterized. The record is from RefSeq and is a predicted model, not a curated record. The transcript has 3 exons. NCBI's taxonomy places the organism in Eukaryota, Metazoa, Arthropoda, Insecta, Hymenoptera, Diprionidae.